RNAcentral lists this ribosomal RNA (254 nucleotides) under uncultured bacterium. RNAcentral describes it as "partial 16S ribosomal RNA". It matches the Rfam family "Bacterial small subunit ribosomal RNA", at positions 524 to 776 of the family's 1533-position model. The record is from RNAcentral.
UACGUAGGGUGCGAGCGUUGUCCGGAAUUAUUGGGCGUAAAGAGCUCGUAGGCGGUGUGUCGCGUCGGCCGUGAAAACCUGGGGCUCAACUCUGGGCGUGCGGUCGAUACGGGCAUCACUUGAGUUCGGCAGGGGAGACUGGAAUUCCUGGUGUAGCGGUGAAAUGCGCAGAUAUCGGGAGGAACACCGGUGGCGAAGGCGGUUCUCUGGGCCUGUACUGACGCUGAGGAGCGAAAGCGUGGGGAGCGAACAGG